ACGGAAGGCAGCAGUGGGGAAUAUUGGACAAUGGGCGAAAGCCUGAUCCAGCGACGCCGCGUGAGUGAAGAAGUAUUUCGGUAUGUAAAGCUCCAUCAGCAGGGAAGAUAAUGACGGUACCUGACCAAGAAGCACCGGCUAAAUACGUGCCAGCAGCCGCGGUAAUACGUAUGGUGCAAGCGUUAUCCGGAUUUACUGGGUGUAAAGGGAGCGUAGACGGCAUGGCAAGUCUGAAGUGAAAGCCCGGGGCUCAACCCCGGGGCUGCUUUGGAAACUGCUAAGCUAGAGUGCAGGAGGGGUGAGUGGAAUUCCUAGUGUAGCGGUGAAAUGCGUAGAUAUUAGGAGGAACACCAGUGGCGAAGGCGGCUUACUGGACUGUAACUGACGUUGAGGCUCGAAAGCGUGGGGAGCAAACAGGAUUAGAUACCCUGGUA
This 434-nucleotide ribosomal RNA is filed under the name uncultured Lachnospiraceae bacterium. Its description in RNAcentral is "partial 16S ribosomal RNA". It matches the Rfam family "Bacterial small subunit ribosomal RNA", at positions 341 to 792 of the family's 1533-position model. The record is from RNAcentral. Lineage: Bacteria; Bacillati; Bacillota; Clostridia; Lachnospirales; Lachnospiraceae.